UGGAGAUAUCCGAAGAUCCUACUGAGCGACUAGAAGUUCGACGCUUUAAUCGUUGCUGCGAGAGCAGUCGCUCGUCUACAUUUUUAAGUGCCAAUAUAUGUUAGCAUCAAAAACCGGGAAAGGAUUGCGCCUCGUUGAAGAAAACUUUGCAUGUUCGUUCCGUCGAAGUUCGUUGAUCUGAGAUUUGACCGUUAAUCGCACCGUGGCUAUAAAGAAGGAAGGAAGGUCGAUGCGGAGGGAAGGAGAAAGAAAGCACAUCACCAGUAAUAUACGUGGAACUGUUGGAAAGAAAUUGGAACGAAACGUGAAACGCUCUGCGUAUACGUACACGGAUAACGCGAGAGGAGAGCGAGACUCUCCAGCUGCGGCGCGAGACGAGACGAGAAGGAAAAGCAAAGAGAAAUUCCGCGAUGAGGAACGCGUUCUGUCG
This 430-nucleotide long non-coding RNA is filed under the name Harpegnathos saltator (Jerdon's jumping ant). RNAcentral describes it as "uncharacterized LOC105186473, transcript variant X2". Lineage: Eukaryota; Metazoa; Arthropoda; Insecta; Hymenoptera; Formicidae. The record is from RNAcentral.